UACGGGCAGCAGUGGGGAAUAUUGCACAAUGGGCGAAAGCCUGAUGCAGCUAUGCCGCGUGUAUGAAGAAGGCCUUAGGGUUGUAAAGUACUUUCAUCGGGGAGGAAAAAACAAAACUAAUAAUUUUAUUUCUUGACGUUACCCGAAAAAGAAGCACCGGCUAACUCCGUGCCAGCAGCCGCGGUAAUACGGAGGGUGCUAGCGUUAAUCAGAAUUACUGGGCGUAAAGAGCACGUAGGUGGUUUUUUUAAGUCAGAUGUGAAAUCCCUGGGCUUAACCUGGAACUGCAUUUUGAAACUGAAAUACUAGAGUAUCGUAGAGGGAGGUAGAAUUCUAGGUGUAGCGGUGAAAUGCGUAGAUAUCUGGAGGAAUACCUGUGGCGAAAGCGGCCUCCUAAACGAAUACUGACACUGAGGGUGCGAAAAGCGUGGGGAGCGAAACAGGGAUUAGAUACC
This 455-nucleotide ribosomal RNA is filed under the name uncultured bacterium. Its description in RNAcentral is "bacterial SSU rRNA". It matches the Rfam family "Bacterial small subunit ribosomal RNA", at positions 340 to 786 of the family's 1533-position model. The record is from RNAcentral.